RNAcentral lists this small RNA (1215 nucleotides) under Pan troglodytes (chimpanzee). RNAcentral's name for it is "processed transcript". The record is from RNAcentral. Lineage: Eukaryota; Metazoa; Chordata; Mammalia; Primates; Hominidae.
UUCCCAGCAAUGUCACUAACUUGGAAGGUGGGCCUGGUCGGCAGACCACAAGCCCAAAUGUGUUGUGGCCAACACCUGGGCACCUUUCUCCUUUAGCGGUCCAUCGCCAGUUAUCACAUCUGUAUGCGGAACCUCAAAAGAGUCCCUGGUGUGAAGCAAGAUCGCUAGAACACACCUUACCUGUAAACAGAGAGACACUGAAAAGGAAGGUUAGUGGGAACCAUUGCGCCAGCCCUGUUACUGGUCCAGGUUCAAAGAGGGACGCUCACUUCUGCGCUGUCUGCAGCGAUUACGCAUCGGGAUAUCACUAUGGAGUCUGGUCGUGUGAAGGAUGUAAGGCCUUUUUUAAAAGAAGCAUUCAAGGACAUAAUGAUUAUAUUUGUCCAGCUACAAAUCAGUGUACAAUCGAUAAAAACCGGCGCAAGAGCUGCCAGGCCUGCCGACUUCGGAAGUGUUACGAAGUGGGAAUGGUGAAGUGUGGCUCCCGGAGAGAGAGAUGUGGGUACCGCCUUGUGCGGAGACAGAGAAGUGCCGACGAGCAGCUGCACUGUGCCGGCAAGGCCAAGAGAAGUGGCGGCCACGCGCCCCGAGUGCGGGAGCUGCUGCUGGACGCCCUGAGCCCCGAGCAGCUAGUGCUCACCCUCCUGGAGGCUGAGCCGCCCCAUGUGCUGAUCAGCCGCCCCAGUGCGCCCUUCACCGAGGCCUCCAUGAUGAUGUCCCUGACCAAGUUGGCCGACAAGGAGUUGGUACACAUGAUCAGCUGGGCCAAGAAGAUUCCCGGUAUGUACCCUCUGGUCACAGCGACCCAGGAUGCUGACAGCAGCCGGAAGCUGGCCCACUUGCUGAACGCCGUGACCGAUGCUUUGGUUUGGGUGAUUGCCAAGAGCGGCAUCUCCUCCCAGCAGCAAUCCAUGCGCCUGGCUAACCUCCUGAUGCUCCUGUCCCACGUCAGGCAUGCGAGUAACAAGGGCAUGGAACAUCUGCUCAACAUGAAGUGCAAAAAUGUGGUCCCAGUGUAUGACCUGCUGCUGGAGAUGCUGAAUGCCCACGUGCUUCGCGGGUGCAAGUCCUCCAUCACGGGGUCCGAGUGCAGCCCGGCAGAGGACAGUAAAAGCAAAGAGGGCUCCCAGAACCCACAGUCUCAGUGACGCCUGGCCCUGAGGUGAACUGGCCCACAGAGGUCACAGGCUGAAGCGUGAACUCCAGUGUGUCGGG